Molecule: long non-coding RNA, 347 nt
Filed under: Lathyrus oleraceus (garden pea)
Lineage: Eukaryota; Viridiplantae; Streptophyta; Magnoliopsida; Fabales; Fabaceae
Description: Pisum sativum (pea) long non-coding RNA (PSAT_LNC028457)
Source: RNAcentral
AGUACGGAUGUAUGCUAAGUGGUGAUUUUCCAAAAGAUAUUUGAAAGGGGUGUGAAAAGCAUUUUUUUUGUUAUGAAUGAGCAAUUAAGGUUAUACCUGUCCGAGGUCUUUUUGGGCACUUCCCAUCCUUAUGAGGGUAAAACUGUCCUUACUAUUGAGAAGUAAGUAAUUUUAUCCUAGGGAUGUAUAAGGGUCAUCGUAGGGUCAUCGAUAGGUCAUUGAAGGCAACAGUUGUGAGGAUACCUUAGCAUUCGAAGGGACUAUCAUCAUUUAACCGUAGGCUACACCGAAGGGUCAUCGAGGGACAAAAUCGUAUUUUCGAAGGCAACAUCCGAGGGACCAUGAUU